This 1005-nucleotide long non-coding RNA is filed under the name Nothobranchius furzeri (turquoise killifish). Its description in RNAcentral is "lncRNA (ENSNFUG00015021575.1)". Lineage: Eukaryota; Metazoa; Chordata; Actinopteri; Cyprinodontiformes; Nothobranchiidae. The record is from RNAcentral.
AUGUGUGGAAGCCACACUAGCCCCCCUCAGGGAGGAGGGCAUCCGGAUCCUCGAUUACCUAGACAACUAGGCUCUAGUAGCGAGUUCCUGAACACAGGCAGAAGCUCACACUGUAUGGGUACUUUCCCACGUUCAACACCUGGGGUUUUCCGUGAACUACAGAAAGAAUUCUCUAGUUCCGAGUCAGAGUUUCUCCUUCCUCGGGCUGGAAAUUUGCUCUUGGUCAAGCAGAGCGCAUCUUUCGGACCAGCGAAUAGCCACGCUACGCAGUUGUUUAGCGCGCUUUCAGCUGGGAGCCAGACUGACACUCCACACAGCUCUACAGCUGCUGGGGAUGAUGGCUUCCUCCAUAGCUGUGAUGCCUCUCGGACUGUUAAAAAUGCGACAUUUCCAGUAUUGGGUCCGCUCUCACCAUCUCCAUCCUUCACGUCAUCUCCGCCGGAGGUUGACGGUCACCAGAGCCUGCAUGGUAGCUCUCCUCCCAUGGAGAGAACCAGGGCUGUUCUACCAGGAUUCCCUCAGAAGCUGGGAGGGGCUCUGUGUGGGGGUUUAGCGGUGAGGUUUAGCGGUGAGGGGGGUAUGGUCCUCGACCCAGUCAAGGUUCCAUAUCAACUUUCUGGAACUGUUAACCGUGUUUCUGGCCCUGAAACACUUCAGUCACCACCUGAGAGGACAACAUGUACUGGUGCGCACAGACUACACAACUGUGGUGUCAUAUGUAAACAGACAGGGAGGAACACACUCCCUUCCUCUACUGAAUUUGACCCACACAUUGCUGCACUGGUGCUAUCUGAAUCUCCUGUCUCUCAGAGCAGCUUAUGUCCCCGGGUACCUCAACCACAGUGUGGACUUGCUCUCCAGGGGCGGACCUCUGUCAAAGGAAUAGACGUUCCACCCCGAAGUGGUAUCCCAGAAUUGGCUGAGGUUAGGCAGGGCAGUAGUGGAUCUGUUUGCGUCAAGCGCAAACACACACCAAUGGGAUCAGAUGCUCUGGCGCACCCUUGA